UGGAAUUUGUUGUCUGUGUCACGGACUUGC
Molecule: non-coding RNA, 30 nt
Filed under: Mus musculus (house mouse)
Lineage: Eukaryota; Metazoa; Chordata; Mammalia; Rodentia; Muridae
Source: RNAcentral